Molecule: ribosomal RNA, 480 nt
Filed under: uncultured bacterium
Lineage: Bacteria
Description: partial 16S ribosomal RNA
Rfam family: Bacterial small subunit ribosomal RNA
Source: RNAcentral
GACGAACGCUGGCGGCGUGCUUAACACAUGCAAGUCGAACGAUGAAGCAAAGAAUCGAAGCUUCGGCAGAAAUUCAUUUCGGAUUAGUGGCAGACGGGUGAGUAACGCGUGAGCAACCUACCUCUUACAAAGGGAUAGCCUCGGGAAACCGGGAUUAAUACCAUAUAACAUUGUGACGAAGCAUUUCGAUGCAAUCAAAGCUACGGCGGUAAGAGAUGGGCUCGCGUCCCAUUAACCGGAUGGUGAGGUAACGGCUCACCAUAGUGACGAUGGGUAACCGGACUGAGAGGGUGAACGGUCACACUGGAACUGAGACACGGUCCAGACUCCUACGGGAGGCAGCAGUGGGGAAUAUUGCACAAUGGAGGGAACUCUGAUGCAGCGACGCCGCGUGAGUGAUGAAGGAAUUCGUUUCGUAAAACUCUGUUCUAUGGGAAGAAAAGGACUGUACCAUAGGAGAAAGCUCCGGCUAAAUACGUG